UACAGAGGUCCCAAGCGUUGUUCGGAUUCACUGGGCGUAAAGGGUGCGUAGGUGGUGAGGUAAGUCGGAUGUGAAAUCUCAGGGCUCAACCCUGAAACUGCACUCGAUACUGCUCUGCUUGAGGACUGGAGAGGAGACUGGAAUUUACGGUGUAGCGGUGAAAUGCGUAGAUAUCGUAAGGAAGACCAGUGGCGAAGGCGGGUCUCUGGACAGUUCCUGACGCUGAGGCACGAAGGCCAGGGGAGCAAACGGG
RNAcentral lists this ribosomal RNA (253 nucleotides) under uncultured bacterium. Its description in RNAcentral is "partial 16S ribosomal RNA". It matches the Rfam family "Bacterial small subunit ribosomal RNA", at positions 524 to 776 of the family's 1533-position model. The record is from RNAcentral.